UACAGAGGGGGCAAGCGUUGUUCGGAAUCACUGGGCUUAAAGGGCGCGUAGGUGGUUGAUCAAGUCUGGGGUGAAAUCUUUCGGCUUAACCGGAAAAGUGCCUUGGAAACUGAUCAGCUUGAGGGAGGUAGGGGCAGUUGGAACUUCCAGUGGAGCGGUGAAAUGCGUUGAUAUUGGAAGGAACGCCGGUGGCGAAAGCGAACUGCUGGACCUCUUCUGACACUGAGGCGCGAAAGCUAGGGGAGCAAACGGG
Molecule: ribosomal RNA, 253 nt
Filed under: uncultured bacterium
Lineage: Bacteria
Description: partial 16S ribosomal RNA
Rfam family: Bacterial small subunit ribosomal RNA
Source: RNAcentral